Molecule: long non-coding RNA, 353 nt
Filed under: Ananas comosus (pineapple)
Lineage: Eukaryota; Viridiplantae; Streptophyta; Magnoliopsida; Poales; Bromeliaceae
Description: long non-coding RNA (ACOM_LNC006704)
Source: RNAcentral
AGAUCAUAUGGGAAAGCAGAAACGAUAUAAUCUUCAGAACGGUUCGUUUAAACCCCCUCAAAGCUGUUCGUAAGGCUAAACAGUUGUCGAAUUCUGGGGAUCUAUUUUUGUUGGCUAAUCGGUAACUGGAAAUGUUUUUUUUCCACCCGGUUCGAGGCCCAGCUGUCUCACCUUUGUAGCUUAAUUCAUUAGUUCAAUAAAUGAAGCGGGUAGCACGCUACCUUAUUCUCAAAAAAAAAAAAUAUAUUUUUACUACUCUGAUCAUUUUUUUUUUCUGAUAUUAAAACUUCUGAUACAAUGGCUUAGUACAUUUUUUAUCUUCUAAAUUUUUCACCACAUUUCUAUUCAAAUUU